CCCUUUGUUGUUAAAACUACCUUGUUGCUUUGGCGGGACCGCUCGGUCUCGAGCCGCUGGGGAUUCGUCCCAGGCGAGCGCCCGCCAGAGUUAAACCAAACUCUUGUUAUUUAACCGGUCGUCUGAGUUAAAAUUUUGAAUAAAUCAAAACUUUCAACAACGGAUCUCUUGGUUCUCGCAUCGAUGAAGAACGCAGCGAAAUGCGAUAAGUAAUGUGAAUUGCAGAAUUCAGUGAAUCAUCGAAUCUUUGAACGCACAUUGCGCCCCUUGGUAUUCCGAGGGGCAUGCCUGUUCGAGCGUCAUUACACCACUCAAGCUAUGCUUGGUAUUGGGUGCCGUCCUUAGUUGGGCGCGCCUUAAAGACCUCGGCGAGGCCUCACCGGCUUUAGGCGUAGUAGAAUUUAUUCGAACGUCUGUCAAAGGAGAGGACUUCUGCCGACUGAAACCUUUUAUUUUUCUAGGUUGACCUCGGAUCAGGUAGGGAUACCCGCUGAACUUAAGCAUAUCAAUAAGCGGAGGAAAAGAAACCAACAGGGAUUGCCCUAGUAACGGCGAGUGAAGCGGCAACAGCUCAAAUUUGAAAGCUGGCCUUCGGGUCCGCAUUGUAAUUUGUAGAGGAUGCUUUGGGUGAAACGCCAGUCUAAGUUCCUUGGAACAGGACGUCAUAGAGGGUGAGAAUCCCGUAUGUGACUGGAAAUGUUAACCUAUGUAAAGCUCCUUCGAC
RNAcentral lists this ribosomal RNA (724 nucleotides) under Aureobasidium pullulans. RNAcentral's name for it is "eukaryotic LSU rRNA". The stretch from base 464 to 724 matches the Rfam family "Eukaryotic large subunit ribosomal RNA", at positions 1 to 261 of the family's 3401-position model. Lineage: Eukaryota; Fungi; Ascomycota; Dothideomycetes; Dothideales; Saccotheciaceae. The record is from RNAcentral.